GAUUAAGUUAUUAAGGGCGCACGGUGGAUGCCUUGGCACUAGAAGCCGAUGAAGGACGUUACUAACGACGAUAUGCUUUGGGGAGCUGUAAGUAAGCUUUGAUCCAGAGAUUUCCGAAUGGGGAAACCCAGCAUGAGUUAUGUCAUGUUAUCGAUAUGUGAAUACAUAGCAUAUCAGAAGGCACACCCGGAGAACUGAAACAUCUUAGUACCCGGAGGAAGAGAAAGAAAAUUCGAUUCCCUUAGUAGCG
RNAcentral lists this ribosomal RNA (250 nucleotides) under Staphylococcus aureus. RNAcentral's name for it is "partial 23S ribosomal RNA". It matches the Rfam family "Bacterial large subunit ribosomal RNA", at positions 1 to 248 of the family's 2925-position model. The record is from RNAcentral. Lineage: Bacteria; Bacillati; Bacillota; Bacilli; Caryophanales; Staphylococcaceae.